Non-coding RNA from Vicia faba (fava bean), 384 nucleotides. The record is from the annotation of a GenBank genome assembly. NCBI's taxonomy places the organism in Eukaryota, Viridiplantae, Streptophyta, Magnoliopsida, Fabales, Fabaceae.
AUGCCUGCUACAGGAUAUCGAAACAGUGUAGUACUGAGCUAUGGUUCAAGAAGUUAUGUCGUUUCCUCUUCUUCGAUAACUCGACUCUUUCUCCUUUCUCGCAAAUCCACGUCGUCGGUUGUCUCAACUUCACUGCCCUUCUUCUUCGAUCACUCGCAGCGCAAUCUUAUCCUCAUCGUCUCACUCUCAGUUCAACACAAUAGAGCCUCCUCCGAUUCAAACUCCAUCGUUCCUCUUUCUCUCAAUUUGUAUUCUCGUUUUGCUCUGACAAACACAUCGCCAUCAAAACACCACCGCCUUCUUCCGCUACAACGCUGGAGGUUUUUUUUUAUUCAAGUUUGGCGCAAGUUUUGGCAAGGGUUUUGGAACUGUUUUGGUUGGUAG